This 72-nucleotide transfer RNA is filed under the name Phrynosoma platyrhinos (Desert horned lizard). RNAcentral's name for it is "tRNA-OTHER". Lineage: Eukaryota; Metazoa; Chordata; Lepidosauria; Squamata; Phrynosomatidae. The record is from RNAcentral.
GCCAGAGUAGUGUAGUGGUUUGAGUGUUGGAGUAUAACUCUGUGGACCAGAGUUCAAAUCCCUGCUUGAGCA